RNAcentral lists this ribosomal RNA (499 nucleotides) under uncultured bacterium. RNAcentral's name for it is "partial 16S ribosomal RNA". It matches the Rfam family "Bacterial small subunit ribosomal RNA", at positions 28 to 523 of the family's 1533-position model. The record is from RNAcentral.
GAUGAACGCUAGCGGCAGGCUUAAUACAUGCAAGUCGUGGGGCAGCAUGAGUAGCAAUACUUGAUGGCGACCGGCAAACGGGUGCGGAACACGUACACAACCUUCCGAUAAGUGGGGAAUAGCCCAGAGAAAUUUGGAUUAAUACCCCGUAACAUAUAGAGUAGGCAUCUUCUUUAUAUUAUAGCUUCGGCGCUUAUUGAUGGGUGUGCGUCUGAUUAGGAAGUUGGCGGGGUAACGGCCCACCAAGCCUACGAUCAGUAGCUGAUGUGAGAGCAUGAUCAGCCACACGGGCACUGAGACACGGGCCCGACUCCUACGGGAGGCAGCAGUAAGGAAUAUUGGACAAUGGGCGAAAGCCUGAUCCAGCCAUGCCGCGUGAAGGAUUAAGGUCCUCUGGGUUGUAAACUUCUUUUAUUUGGGACGAAAAAAGGGAAUUCUUUCCACUUGACGGUACCAAGUGAAUAAGCACCGGCUAACUCCGUGCCAGCAGCCGCGGUAA